Phyllostomus discolor (pale spear-nosed bat) is the source of this 104-nucleotide small nuclear RNA. The record is from RefSeq and is a predicted model, not a curated record. Lineage: Eukaryota; Metazoa; Chordata; Mammalia; Chiroptera; Phyllostomidae.
GUGCACUUCGGCCGCACGUGCACGGAAACUGGGCCAAUACAGAGAAGAUCAGCAUAACUCCACACAAGGGUGGCAUGCAAACCUGUGAAACGUUCGUAUUUCUU